Molecule: small nuclear RNA, 99 nt
Organism: Oryctolagus cuniculus (rabbit)
Lineage: Eukaryota; Metazoa; Chordata; Mammalia; Lagomorpha; Leporidae
Gene: U2
Rfam family: U2 spliceosomal RNA
About the family: U2 is a small nuclear RNA (snRNA) component of the spliceosome (involved in pre-mRNA splicing). Complementary binding between U2 snRNA (in an area lying towards the 5' end but 3' to hairpin I) and the branchpoint sequence (BPS) of the intron results the bulging out of an unpaired adenosine, on the BPS, which initiates a nucleophilic attack at the intronic 5' splice site, thus starting the first of two transesterification reactions that mediate splicing.
Source: Ensembl
AUCACAUCUUAGCCUUUUGGCUAAGAUCAAGUGAGGAAUUUUUCAGAUUUAAUUUUCAUUACUACUAUAAGUAGUAAAACUAUUAAACUUGUAGCCUUC